CACAAGGGCGAUUGUGCAACAGCGCAGAGAAAGGAUGGAGCUGCGUCCCAUUCCAUACCCCACGGUCCAUGGCACAGGAGCUCGAUUCUCUGUCCUUUCAAACUGCAUCAUUCAGUCACCUGCAGCCAGAUGAGACGCUGGACCCCAUUUCAUCUCCGUCCAGAGUGGAAGGAGUGGCUUGGUGAAAGCCGGGGGCCAACCGAGAGAGGUUAGGGCCUGGAGGUAGCCUGAGAAGACACACGACGCAGGGCCAAGUUCCACCUGUGAGCAUCAAGGAAACUGAGGGUGUGUGUGUGUGUGUGGACUGAACCCAGGGCCUUUGCCCUGAGCUACAUCCUCAGCCCUUUAUUGGAGACGGGUACUGCCUCAGCCUCCCAGAGUGCUCAGACUACAGAGAACAUCUGGCAAUUUUCAGUUUCCCAGCUGGAUGGAAGGAGCACAUACUACUGGUAGAGGCCAGGAAAGACAGAGCCCAGGGAAGCUGAUCUACGAUGCGCGAAACAGCUAUCUACCGUCAAGAACUGGCCCAUCCAAAACGUCAGUAGUGCUGAGGCUGAGAGACCCUGGAGUAGAGACACAGAUCAACAAAAUCUCGUUUUAAAAAAAGAUAGAAAAUAUGACCUCGAGGUGGGUAUGACCAGCAGAAAACAGCUGUGGCACUAACAGUGGGUAACUUGAGAGUCCGUUGAAUAGGGACCAUUAUGCAAGCAAGAACAAGAAGCAGGGACAACCAAGUCCUCCGGGGCUCGUAACAAGGAGAGGGACUGGUCACUGCAACUCGAGAUAAAGAGAGCUCUGUGGGCCGGGGAUUUAGCUCAGUGGUUCCACUGCCUGCCUCGAAAGUGCAAGGUCCCAAGCUGGAUCCCCGUACGAAAAAAAGAGAGAGAGAGAGCUGUGGCCGGAGGACCUCUCGGUAGGAGCCUGGACCUUUACUCAGGGGUCACCGCCAGCUCGCAGCAAGCUCAGGUAGCUCGAGUUCCCUCACUUCUCACCCCCUCAUUUCCGCUCAGUGUUUGCCAUAGCCAAGCCCAGUGGAGAACCUAUGAACAAAGAAGUAAUUAAUGCCAUCCGCAAAGGCCACAAGGACACAAGGCAGGCUGAAAGGAGGGUCUGAGUGAAUCUGGAGGGGCAAUGGGCCCUCUCCAGGCCAGGAUGGAAGGAAAAAGAAGACACAAGGCUCAGCUCAACAAGAAAAAAAUCAAUAGGGCCGGGGAUUUAGCUCAGUGGUUUCACCGCCUGCCUCGAAAGCGCAAGGACCCAAGUUCAAUAUCCAGUACAAAAAAAAAAAAAAGAAAAAGAAAAAAAUCAACACAUUCAACAUUCAUCAAGUUGUACCAGUCAGAGAAUGAAGGCAACCCACAAGCUAGGACAAAUACCUAUGUCAUGUAUUUAAAACAGUGGAUUAGUUUCUGGAAUAUAUAACAAAGUCUUAAUAAGAAAAAGAUAAAUAAUCAACUAAAGGUAAAUGACAUGAGUAAACACUUCUCAGAACAGGAAACACAAAUGGCCAAGAAACAUAGGAAGAGAUGUUCAACCUUGUUAGUAGUCAGGGAAAUGCAAAACUAAACCACAAUGAGAUAACACUUCAUUGUUACCACAAGCCUGGAAGAAUUAAAAAGUCAGACACUACAAGUCUAGCUCAGAACGUGAAGUAGAAGGAAUUCUUACAUAUUGUCAAAGUAAAAUGGUACUUUUGAAACACAGUUCCUAGUAAAAUUGAAGGCAGAUGUACCCUGUAACCCAGAAUUUCAAUCUAGCCCAACUCAGAGAAAUUCUUGCCCUUGAAUCAAGAGACAUAAAUACAUUAAUAGCAACACUGAUUUUAAAUAAACUUUUAACUUUGGAACAAUUUUACAUCUACAGAAAAAUUAUGAAGCUAAUACAGAGUUCCCAUGUACCCAAUUUUCUCUUCUUACAUUAGUAUGGUACAGCGAUACUAACAGCUAUUAUUAACUAAAGUCUACACCUUAUUGAGAUUUCCUUAGUUUGCCUAACGUCUUUUAGGCAGCCUGCUUUGAUGAUGCUGGGGAUUCAACCCAGGGCCUCACACAUGCUAAGCAUAUGCUCUGCCACUAGCUAAACCUCCAACCUCUGAAGCAUUGUUUUAAAUAACUAAAACUUGGUGGGUCGGACCCACAAAGCGCCCAUCAGCAGUAAAACAGAAAAACAAAUUGAGAUUUACUCAUUCCCAGGAUUACAGUAAACGAAUGAGCCACUGUAUGUCAACAUGGAUGAAUCUGAAGGAAUUCUGUUUUACAAAUGAGGAGAGGACCAAGAGUUGGGGGGGGGGGGGGAAGGGAAGGGCAUGAAAAGAGAAUUCCACUGUGCUAUGUCUCUGUACCAACUCCCCACAAGGAAUGGAAUCAUUAUUACUACAAAUGUAUACUAAUAAAAAAUAAAAACUAGACGAAAAAAAGUAAAAGGAAGUCUUGAAUAAAUACAUCCGGCUGGGAGUGGUGCACGCCUGUAAUCCCAGCCCACGGGAGGCUGAGGCAGGAGCAUCCCCAUGAGCUUGAGGCCAGCCUAGGCUACAUACUGAGUUUAAGUCCAGCCUGAACUACAUAGCAAGACCUUGUCUGAAAAAUUAAAAAAUAAAUAAAUAAAUAAACCUAUCCAACACGGUUCCAUUUAUAAAAUGGUCAAAAAUAGGCAAAAGGAAAUCAUAUAAUUUCAGGACAUUUGUAUAUGAGAUAAAAUAUCAAGCCUAGCAAAGAAAUGAUUAAGCCAAAAUACCAG
RNAcentral lists this long non-coding RNA (2736 nucleotides) under Heterocephalus glaber (naked mole-rat). Its description in RNAcentral is "lncRNA (ENSHGLG00000047473.1)". The record is from RNAcentral. Lineage: Eukaryota; Metazoa; Chordata; Mammalia; Rodentia; Bathyergidae.